RNAcentral lists this ribosomal RNA (363 nucleotides) under uncultured microorganism. RNAcentral's name for it is "bacterial SSU rRNA". It matches the Rfam family "Archaeal small subunit ribosomal RNA", at positions 330 to 700 of the family's 1478-position model. The record is from RNAcentral.
GCGCAGCAGGCGAGAAACUUUACAAUGUGCGAAAGCACGAUAAGGGAACUCUGAGUGCCUCCUAAGGAGACUGUUCAGGUGUCUAAAAGCACCUGAAGGAAGGGCUGGGUAAGACCGGUGCCAGCCGCCGCGGUAACACCGGCAGCCCAAGUGGUAGCCACGUUUAUUGGGUCUAAAGCGUCCGUAGCCGGCUGGGUAAGUUCCUUGGGAAAUUUGGCUGCUUAACAGUCAAGCUUUCAGGGAAUACUGCCCGGCUUGGGACCGGGAGAGGUCAGAGGUACUCCAGGGGUAGGGGUGAAAUCCAUUAAUCCUUGGGGGACCACCGGUAGCGAAGGCGUCUGACCAGACCGGGUCCGACGGUGA